Non-coding RNA from Brachypodium distachyon (stiff brome), 125 nucleotides. The record is from Rfam. NCBI's taxonomy places the organism in Eukaryota, Viridiplantae, Streptophyta, Magnoliopsida, Poales, Poaceae.
UUUAUACUUCCUCUGUCCCAUAUUAAGUGACGAGAUAUUACAUGUAUCUAGACGCUUUUUGGAUAUAAAUACAUCCAUAUUUGCACAAAUUUGAGUCACUUAAUAUGGGACGGAGGGAGUAGAUU